CAAUAGCGUAUAUUAAAGUUGUUGCAGUUAAAAAGCUCGUAGUUGAAUUUUUGCUUGCCGCCGAUGUCGGAACUUCCGUACGUUCGGCGGCGUGCAUCCUUGGGUGGAACCUGUGUGGCAUUAGGUUGUCGUGCAGGGGAUGCUCAUCGUUUACUGUGAAAAAAUUAGAGUGUUCAAAGCAGGCUUACGCCGUUGAAUAUAUUAGCAUGGAAUAAUAAGAUAGGACCUUGGUACUAUUUUGUUGGUUUGCGCACCGAGGUAAUGAUUAACAGGGACAGUUGGGGGUAUUCGUAUUCCAUUGUCAGAGGUGAAAUUCUUGGAUUUCUGGAAGACGAACUACUGCGAAAGCAUUUACCAAGGAUGUUUUCAUUAAU
This 374-nucleotide ribosomal RNA is filed under the name uncultured eukaryote. Its description in RNAcentral is "partial 18S ribosomal RNA". It matches the Rfam family "Eukaryotic small subunit ribosomal RNA", at positions 592 to 977 of the family's 1831-position model. The record is from RNAcentral.